AACGAACGCUGGCGGCGUGCUUAACACAUGCAAGUCGAACGGUAAGGCCCUUCGGGGUACACGAGUGGCGAACGGGUGAGUAACACGUGGGUGAUCUGCCCUGCACUUCGGGAUAAGCCUGGGAAACUGGGUCUAAUACCGGAUAGGACCACUGCCUGCAGGGGUGGUGGUGGAAAGCUUUUGCGGUGUGGGAUGGGCCCGCGGCCUAUCAGCUUGUUGGUGGGGUGAUGGCCUACCAAGGCGACGACGGGUAGCCGGCCUGGGAGGGUGACCGGCCAAGCUGGGACUGAGAUACGGCCCAGACUCCUACGGGAGGCAGCAGUGGGGAAUAUUGCACAAUGGGCGCAAGCCUGAUGCAGCGACGCCGCGUGGGGGAUGACGGCCUUCGGGUUGUAAACCUCUUUCAGCACCGACGAAGCGCAAGUGACGGUAGGUGCAGAAGAAGGACCGGCCAACUACGUGCCAGCCGCCGCCGUAA
This 478-nucleotide ribosomal RNA is filed under the name uncultured bacterium. Its description in RNAcentral is "partial 16S ribosomal RNA". It matches the Rfam family "Bacterial small subunit ribosomal RNA", at positions 28 to 523 of the family's 1533-position model. The record is from RNAcentral.